This 639-nucleotide ribosomal RNA is filed under the name Staphylococcus xylosus. RNAcentral describes it as "bacterial SSU rRNA". It matches the Rfam family "Bacterial small subunit ribosomal RNA", at positions 379 to 1009 of the family's 1533-position model. Lineage: Bacteria; Bacillati; Bacillota; Bacilli; Caryophanales; Staphylococcaceae. The record is from RNAcentral.
AAGCCUGACGGAGCACGCCGCGUGAGUGAUGAAGGGUUUCGGCUCGUAAAACUCUGUUAUUAGGGAAGAACAAAUGUGUAAGUAACUGUGCACAUCUUGACGGUACCUAAUCAGAAAGCCACGGCUAACUACGUGCCAGCAGCCGCGGUAAUACGUAGGUGGCAAGCGUUAUCCGGAAUUAUUGGGCGUAAAGCGCGCGUAGGCGGUUUCUUAAGUCUGAUGUGAAAGCCCACGGCUCAACCGUGGAGGGUCAUUGGAAACUGGGAAACUUGAGUGCAGAAGAGGAAAGUGGAAUUCCAUGUGUAGCGGUGAAAUGCGCAGAGAUAUGGAGGAACACCAGUGGCGAAGGCGACUUUCUGGUCUGUAACUGACGCUGAUGUGCGAAAGCGUGGGGAUCAAACAGGAUUAGAUACCCUGGUAGUCCACGCCGUAAACGAUGAGUGCUAAGUGUUAGGGGGUUUCCGCCCCUUAGUGCUGCAGCUAACGCAUUAAGCACUCCGCCUGGGGAGUACGACCGCAAGGUUGAAAACUCAAAGGAAUUGACGGGGACCCGCACAAGCGGUGGAGCAUGUGGUUUAAUUCGAAGCAACGCGAAGAACCUUACCAAAUCUUGACAUCCUUUGAAAACUCUAGAGAUAG